GACGAACGCUGGCGGCGUGCUUAACACAUGCAAGUCGAACGGAAAGGCCCUGCUUUUGUGGGGUGCUCAAGUGGCGAACGGGUGAGUAACACGUGAGUAACCUGCCCUUGACUUUGGGAUAACUUCAGGAAACUGGGGCUAAUACCGGAUAGGAGCUCCUGCUGCAUGGUGGGGGUUGGAAAGUUUCGGCGGUUGGGGAUGGACGCGCGGCUUAUCAGCUUGUUGGUGGGGUAGUGGCUUACCAAGGCUUUGACGGGUAGCCGGCCUGAGAGGGUGACCGGCCACAUUGGGACUGAGAUACGGCCCAGACUCCUACGGGAGGCAGCAGUGGGGAAUAUUGCACAAUGGGCGGAAGCCUGAUGCAGCAACGCCGCGUGCGGGAUGACGGCCUUCGGGUUGUAAACCGCUUUCGCCUGUGACGAAGCGUGAGUGACGGUAAUGGGUAAAGAAGCACCGGCUAACUACGUG
RNAcentral lists this ribosomal RNA (468 nucleotides) under uncultured bacterium. RNAcentral describes it as "partial 16S ribosomal RNA". It matches the Rfam family "Bacterial small subunit ribosomal RNA", at positions 28 to 507 of the family's 1533-position model. The record is from RNAcentral.